Molecule: ribosomal RNA, 990 nt
Filed under: Aequorivita sp. RAS52
Lineage: Bacteria; Pseudomonadati; Bacteroidota; Flavobacteriia; Flavobacteriales; Flavobacteriaceae
Description: bacterial SSU rRNA
Rfam family: Bacterial small subunit ribosomal RNA
Source: RNAcentral
GAGACCGGUGCACGGGUGCGUAACGCGUAUGCAACCUGCCUCUUGCAGGGGAAUAGCCCAGGGAAACUUGGAUUAAUGCCCCAUAGUCCAUAUUGAUGGCAUUUGAAGUAUGGUAAAGAUUUAUCGGCAAGGGAUGGGCAUGCGUCCCAUUAGCUAGUUGGUGUGGUAACGGCAUACCAAGGCUACGAUGGGUAGGGGCCCUGAGAGGGGGAUCCCCCACACUGGUACUGAGACACGGACCAGACUCCUACGGGAGGCAGCAGUGAGGAAUAUUGGACAAUGGGCGGGAGCCUGAUCCAGCCAUGCCGCGUGCAGGAAGACUGCCCUAUGGGUUGUAAACUGCUUUUUUACGGGAAGAAACACCCCCACGUGUGGGGGCUUGACGGUACCGUACGAAUAAGGACCGGCUAACUCCGUGCCAGCAGCCGCGGUAAUACGGAGGGUCCGAGCGUUAUCCGGAAUCAUUGGGUUUAAAGGGUCCGUAGGCGGGCGUCUAAGUCAGUGGUGAAAUUCUGCAGCUCAACUGUAGGACUGCCAUUGAUACUGGUCGCCUUGAAUUAGUGUGAAGUGGCUAGAAUAUGUAGUGUAGCGGUGAAAUGCUUAGAUAUUACAUAGAAUACCGAUUGCGAAGGCAGGUCACUAACACUAUAUUGACGCUGAUGGACGAAAGCGUGGGGAGCGAACAGGAUUAGAUACCCUGGUAGUCCACGCCGUAAACGAUGGAUACUAGCUGUCCGGCCUGCAUUGGUAGGCUGGGUGGCCAAGCGAAAGUGAUAAGUAUCCCACCUGGGGAGUACGUUCGCAAGAAUGAAACUCAAAGGAAUUGACGGGGGCCCGCACAAGCGGUGGCGCAUGUGGUUUAAUUCGAUGAUACGCGAGGAACCUUACCAGGGCUUAAAUGUAGUCUGACAGGGGUGGAAACGCCCCCUUCUUCCGACAGACUGCAAGGUGCUGCAUGAUGUCGUCAGCUCGUGCCGUGAGUGUCAGAUA